AGAUGACCUGGCAACUACUGCUAGGAGCAAGUAAACCGUAUGAGAUUAAGUGGCCAGCUCACGUGGAAGCCACAGACAGAAACAUUUUAGAAUAUAGGAUCAGGUUUCCUUAUCUCCUCCCUUCAGCCACAGCACAGAAAUAGUUCCUGUGACCAUAACUUAGAAAAGGGGUAUAGCAAAAGCAUUUUGUUCCAGCAAGGCAGUAUCCUAAAGAGUUACAAACUCACUCCCUGUACUCCCACAUGAAACAGAUGUCUGAUGAUUCCUUAGGAGCGUGUGCAAGGCCUCCAAACAAGAAGAAGAGGACUGAGAUCACUUAAAGAACCAUCAAGACUGCCUGGAGAAUAGGUUUAUUCUUCCUUUAACUUACCAAUAUCAAUCUUUUCCACUGCUUCUGGUACAGUUACACCCGGAGAAGAUACAGUCUUCACAAAGGGGUAGAGGUUACACACAACAACUCUUACAAGGCUGAAAUCUUGUUUGUUCAUAUCAGCGUUAUCUUCUGGAAUAUUGCGAGCCAAGAUGCCAGCAUGGACUGCAGGAUGAAGGGUUUUCACACGUCCUCCUAACAUCUCAGGGAACCCCGUCAGGUCCGAAACAUCUCUCACAGGCAGCCCCGCAUCCCUCAAGGCCGUGGCCGUUCCUCCCGAGGCGAUGAGGCCCAGACCCAACGCGUUCAGGCUCCUGGCGAACUCCACCAGGCCCGCCUUCUCCGAGACGCUGAGCAAAGCGAGCUGCUGCCGGGCGGCCAUGGCGCGCGUUGCGGGCGAGAGAGGGAGGAAGGAAGGAAAGGAGCGAUCGAGGGCGGCCCGAGGGGAUUUGGGCUCCAACAGCAGCACCACGUGGGAGGGCGGGGAGGAAGAGGCAGAGCUCGGGUUAAACAUUGCUGCUUAAAGCGUGUGCUGCACCCCUCGGGGUGGGGGCGGGCGGCGCGCUGCUGUGUGGGGAGCUCGGCGCGUGGCUCAGCCUGCACCACAGCUGCUGCGGCCUGCCUGGCUGUCCUGUGAGCAGCAGUUCCUAGCGACGUGCCUCGUGUUUUUUAUAGAAUCGUGGAGUUACUCAGCUUGGAACAGGUCGCUAGAAUCAUGCAGUCUGACUCCAGCCCGUCCCCACUGCGUCCCUCAGUGUCACGUCUUGAAUGCCUCCAAAGGUGGCGACCCGCUGCUCCCUGGGUACCUGUGCCAGCACAGCACCGCUCUUAAUAAGAAAUUGGUCCUAAAAUCCAGCUUGAAGCUCCCCUGGUGCAGCUUCAGGCCGUCACCUUUCAUCCUAAGUUCCGAUAUGGGACUUCCACACAUGCAUCUGUUAGGCUUUUGUCUCCCACAGAGCCAUUCCCUGCAGGCUGGGAGCAGGCAGGCUGGGAGUUAGAAAAGAAGGAAUAAAUGCAAGAUUGGAGAUCCUACAGAAAACUGGGAAGCGCAACCAGGAAACCCAGGGCUGUUGUGAUUUGUGGGCCUCGAGGCUUGGGCAGCAUUGUCUGUGUAAGAAGGAGUCAAGCAAGACAUACAGAGCACUAAAUAAAGUCGGUAUAUGUAUUACUCUGAGUAGCAGUUGGUGACAAGCAGUAAUAAAUUACUGCUCAGGAGCAUGGCUGGGGCCAAAUGAAAAUAUACUGCUAAGUGGUACAUGAGCACCAUCAUUAUGAAAAUACAUACCUUGGAGAGAACUGCUGAUGUACAGAGCGGUGCAGCCAAGGUGGGCUUUGGGGAUGAUUAAUGGAUGUGAAAAUGAAAGAUUUGACGGAGCUCUGCAUAUUUAUCUGGGGUUGGAGAGCAAUUGCAUAUUCUGGGGCAGCAUCUGAGACGCUAAGGACCACUGUGCAUGCUGCUUACAAAGCAGGGUGUUUGGAGAUGCUGCCGAUGCAGGGUGGAUGGCCAUGCUGGCCUAUGCACGAGAGGACAGAGCUGAUUCUGCUUUCAGGCAAAUAAAGAGGCGUUAUCAGCAUAAAU
RNAcentral lists this long non-coding RNA (1949 nucleotides) under Gallus gallus (chicken). The record is from RNAcentral. Lineage: Eukaryota; Metazoa; Chordata; Aves; Galliformes; Phasianidae.